GUUGUACUUGAAUUGAAGCUACUACCGCAUUCAGUUUUUUCAGUUUUCAAGAAAGAAAAAAAAAAGAUAAUGGCGCAAGUUCCUGACAAUGAUAGCAGUGAAGAGACGAAUUCCAGGUUCCACACGACGUUGUACGUAGGGGAUCUUGACGAGACCAUCGACGAGAGCCAGCUCUUUAUUAUCUUCGAUCAUGUUGCAAAAGUCGUUUCCGUUCGAAUUUGCCGCGACUACGCAACUGGGAAGUCCCUUGGUUACGCCUACGUGACUUACAGUAGCCGUUACAAUGCCGCUAAAGCAAUAAAAGAGCUAAAUUUCGUUUCGGUGAAUGGCAAAACCAUUAGGGUAACGUAUUCUAAUCGGGACCCCAGUGUUCGUAAGAGUGGUAGAGCUAACCUUUAUGUAAAGAAUUUGGCUCCGUCAAUCUAUCACAAGGCUCUAUACGAUCUCUGUUCGUCUUUUGGGAAUAUUCUAUCUUGCACGGUUGCAACGGAUGCUUCUGGCCAGUCUAAAGGUUAUGGUUUUGUGCAGUUUGAGAGCGAAGCAUCUGCAAAAGAAGCGAUUGAAAAGUUAAACGGCACGCUGCUCAAAGAUAAAAAGAUCUAUAUGGGUCCUUUCGUGUCAAAGCAGGACAGAGUGAAUAGUGACGCAAGCUUUUCAAAUGUUUAUGUUAAAAACCUGUCAGACACAAUAACGGAUGCUGAGUUGCAGAAUAUUUUCGGAGAAUAUGGUGAUAUUACAAGUGCUGUAGUGAUGAGACAUACAGAUGGUAGA
This 771-nucleotide small RNA is filed under the name Vigna angularis var. angularis. RNAcentral describes it as "Non-protein coding transcript". The record is from RNAcentral. Lineage: Eukaryota; Viridiplantae; Streptophyta; Magnoliopsida; Fabales; Fabaceae.